RNAcentral lists this ribosomal RNA (164 nucleotides) under Leucaena leucocephala subsp. glabrata. RNAcentral's name for it is "5.8S ribosomal RNA". The stretch from base 1 to 107 matches the Rfam family "5.8S ribosomal RNA", at positions 50 to 154 of the family's 154-position model. From Rfam's summary of the family: 5.8S ribosomal RNA (5.8S rRNA) is a component of the large subunit of the eukaryotic ribosome. It is transcribed by RNA polymerase I as part of the 45S precursor that also contains 18S and 28S rRNA. The record is from RNAcentral. Lineage: Eukaryota; Viridiplantae; Streptophyta; Magnoliopsida; Fabales; Fabaceae.
GAAAUGAGAUAAUUGGUGUGAAUUGCAUAUUCCCGUGAACCACCGAGUCUUUGAACGCAAGUUGCGCCCGACCCCAUUAGGCUGAAGGCACAUUUGCCUGGGUGUCACGCAACGUCGCCACCGCCUACCCCACGGGCGCGACGGAUGAUGGCUUCCCAGGAGCC